CCUACGGGAGGCUGCAGUGGGGAAUAUUGGACAAUGGGGGCAACCCUGAUCCAGCCAUGCCGCGUGUGUGAAGAAGGCCCUCGGGUUGUAAAGCACUUUCAGUGAGGAAGAACGCCUGGUGGUUAAUACCCAUCAGGAAAGACAUCACUCACAGAAGAAGCACCGGCUAACUCCGUGCCAGCAGCUGCGGUAAUACGGAGGGUGCGAGCGUUAAUCGGAAUUACUGGGCGUAAAGCGCGCGUAGGUGGCUUGAUAAGCCGGUUGUGAAAGCCCCGGGCUCAACCUGGGAACGGCAUCCGGAACUGUCAAGCUAGAGUGCAGGAGAGGAAGGUAGAAUUCCCGGUGUAGCGGUGAAAUGCGUAGAGAUCGGGAGGAAUACCAGUGGCGAAGGCGGCCUUCUGGACUGACACUGACACUAAGGUGCGAAAGCGUGGGUAGCAAACAGGAUUAGAUACCCUAGUAGUC
This 465-nucleotide ribosomal RNA is filed under the name Vreelandella stevensii. Its description in RNAcentral is "partial 16S ribosomal RNA". It matches the Rfam family "Bacterial small subunit ribosomal RNA", at positions 338 to 795 of the family's 1533-position model. The record is from RNAcentral. Lineage: Bacteria; Pseudomonadati; Pseudomonadota; Gammaproteobacteria; Oceanospirillales; Halomonadaceae.